Molecule: ribosomal RNA, 253 nt
Filed under: uncultured bacterium
Lineage: Bacteria
Description: partial 16S ribosomal RNA
Rfam family: Bacterial small subunit ribosomal RNA
Source: RNAcentral
UACGUAGGGGGCUAGCGUUAUCCGGAAUUACUGGGCGUAAAGCGCGCGUAGGCGGCUUUGUAAGUCAGAGGUGAAAGCCUGGAGCUCAACUCCAGAACUGCCUUUGAGACUGCAUCGCUAGAAUCAUGGAGAGGUAAGUGGAAUUCCGAGUGUAGAGGUGAAAUUCGUAGAUAUUCGGAAGAACACCAGUGGCGAAGGCGGCUUCCUGGACACUUACUGACGCUGAGACGCGAAAGCGUGGGGAGCAAACAGG